This 499-nucleotide ribosomal RNA is filed under the name uncultured bacterium. RNAcentral describes it as "partial 16S ribosomal RNA". It matches the Rfam family "Bacterial small subunit ribosomal RNA", at positions 30 to 522 of the family's 1533-position model. The record is from RNAcentral.
AUUGAACGCUGGCGGCAUGCCUUACACAUGCAAGUCGAACGGCAGCACGGGAGCAAUCCUGGUGGCGAGUGGCGAACGGGUGAGUAAAGUAUCGGAACGUGCCCAGUCGUGGGGGAUAACGUAGCGAAAGUUACGCUAAUACCGCAUACGAUCUAUGGAUGAAAGCGGGGGAUCGCAAGACCUCGCGCGAUUGGAGCGGCCGAUAUCAGAUUAGGUAGUUGGUGGGGUAAAGGCUCACCAAGCCGACGAUCUGUAGCUGGUCUGAGAGGACGACCAGCCACACUGGGACUGAGACACGGCCCAGACUCCUACGGGAGGCAGCAGUGAGGAAUUUUGGACAAUGGGCGCAAGCCUGAUCCAGCCAUGCCGCGUGCAGGAUGAAGGCCUUCGGGUUGUAAACUGCUUUUGUACGGAACGAAAAGGUUUGACUUAAUACGUUGGACUCAUGACGGUACCGUAAGAAUAAGCACCGGCUAACUACGUGCCAGCCGCCGCAGUA